Molecule: long non-coding RNA, 3571 nt
Organism: Zalophus californianus (California sea lion)
Lineage: Eukaryota; Metazoa; Chordata; Mammalia; Carnivora; Otariidae
Exons: 4
Source: RefSeq, a predicted model, not a curated record
ACUUUGCCGAGGAGGAGGCCCUCUCUGUUCUGGCAGUCACUUGAGGUUAUCAGAUGUAAAUAGGCCUUGGCAGAACAAAUGGGACCCUGUGUGGCCGGACAAAGUCUGCCUCUCCCAAGAUCCAACAGGGAUGCAGAGCCCAGCAGGAAGGAGCUUCCGGAGUACAGAUGGAAGAAGGCCCAGGUCCUGCCCUUGAGAGGUUCAAAGUUGGUCAACUCUCUCCCCAGGCCACCCAGAACAACUCAGCUCCUGUCACUGCUAAGACAGUGCAUCAGCAGAAAAUAAAAAGCCAAACAUGCCCCCACCCAUCACUGCCAAAGUACCAGUGGAGGCUGAUCCAGCCCGAGCAGAGGAUGGCCUUGGAAUAUUAUCUCAACACCACAGGAAAUCUGCGGUUGUGAAGUCAGCAUUCUGGCAUGACCAAGAAUGGAUUUUUCAAAAGGAUAUGUUCCCCAUGUAGUGGAAAGAUGACACCCCAAGAGCUCCAUCCGGGCAUCUUCAGCCCUAUUGGAAAAAGCUUACUUUCCCAUUCAUUCUGAGGAAAUGACCAGAACUGACUCUCAUGGAAGACUGAUUGGAUUAUUUCCCCAGCCCUGGAGUUGGGAGGUUAGGGUCAGCCACACAGGAACUCCUUGAACUGAGAGGGCAGGCAGGAAAGUCUCCUAGAGGAAAUGGAGGUCCUGAUACCAGAAAUGGCAAUGGUAAAACAGCAGUCAGUGAAAAAUUGAGAUAUACACCCUAUGAAGUGAGCUUAGGAGACUGAUGUAAAAAAACACAAACCAAAAAACAAAACAACACCAAACUUCCUCGUGUGACCCCAGGCUGGAAAUUGAUGUUUAAUCCAGCCAUGAAGGAUGCAUGAUUUAUUAGGAAACUACAGUGUGUCCAGGAAGGGGCGAGGUGGACUGGGGCAGAUACCCUUGGCUGAUUUGGGCCCCCACUCCCUCCCCUUUUAGCCUUAGCUUCAGAGACAGGAUUUCCUGGAGCUGGAGCUGCUGGCUGUGGAACUGGCUCCCAGACAAGCUGAAACCUCUGGUCAAGGCCACGUGCUACCAGAAAGGAGAGAUGUUUGCAGAGAGUACAACCCCGGGCACAAGAGAGGGGGAUGCUGACUGUGGGUAGAGCUGCCCUCUGAAAUGUUAUAGGGUGGUGGGAGACAGGGAGAGAAGUGGCAAAAAUUAAGAGGCUUUAGGCUUUGGCAGUAGGAAUCAAAUUCCAAGCCACAGAUCAAUGCCUCCAUCUCUGGGCAGGAAUGGCCAGUGCUACUUACAGGGAUAUGCAGUGGAAGGAGCUGGUGCCCGGACACUGAAAGGCAGGCUCAUAUGAGUUUGAAACACUCACCAUGACCAAGAAGGCCAUCUUGUAGCAGAGGUCCCUCCAAGGGAGAUUACUAAAUGCAUCAUUUUUCCCCUUUCCAAGAGAUGAGGUGCUGGGAGCUGCAGCAAGCAGGGGACUUUCUCGUACUGUGAGGGGGAAGGAGAAUUAAAGGUGUGGGGAUGGGUUUGUUUCUGAGGGCAGAGGAAGUGAGAGAGAGGAUCCAGGCUGAAAAUUCCACCAGCUCUCCAGGCCCCUUUUAAUGCUAUUGCUUCCACAUUUCAACCAACAGUGACUCCAAAUAUCCCUUGUUUCUCUUCCCCAUCAAAGCUCAGUGUGUGUGUAUGAGGCCUGGGGGAAGGAGAAUGAAAGCACCUGAGAGACUCCCUUGAAGAGACUGAGGGUGCCUGCACAGGGGGAGAGGAGCUUCUGCCACUGGACGCUUACGGAGCUAGAACCCCACAGGCUCAUCCUGGUGCUACUGCUAGAAUAAAGUGUGGUGAGAAGGCAGGGAGAACCCGGGCCAUGUUCCUGUGAGACUGGGGGUGUUUGUGAACAUAGAUAGUGAACCAGAGAGUUCUGAAGGUUGGAGGUUCAUGAAAGGGCCUAUAUGAGCAAGCUUGUCAGGACCAGGAUGUGGUGGGCCUGGGAGGAAAAAAUGGGUCUACCGUGCCCAGUUCCUCAUACUUCCUAUGGCUCCAUGGGACAGAGCAUAACAGUUAGAGGAGGGACAGGAACCAGGGAGCUAGUCAGCAGCUACUGGGCCAAGCAGCGGGGCCCUGACUUGAAGGAGGAGCUGGGGACCGACGGUCAGUAAGGAGGCCGGUUGUCCCUAUCUGUAGAAGUCCUUGGCAGUGAGGGGCCAUAGAGCUGAACAGCACUGAAGAAACUACACAUAUCUCUUCUGUGGAGAUCAUAGAGACCACCACAUCACAGAGACCACCAAGGGCAGAAAGACCCAGAAUAAGGUCGGGAAACCCUUUCCACUACAGAGUGAAGUCAGGGUGGCAGGAGGUCUCCCGAAGCUUCCUCUAGGAGGAAGGACCCUAGGAGUGGUCCAUCCCCUCAUCAAGCCCCCAUAGUCACAAUUCUGACCUGGGUAGGGUAGGUUAGAUAGCAGAUUAAAGUUUUAAAUUGGACUGGUCUGAGUUUUAAUAACUGAAUGAGACCGGAAAGUUAUAAAAAUUCUACCUAUGAUAUUAAAAAAAGAGUCAAGGGAGUGACUAGGGAGAAAAAGACUUAGCGUUGCUUCAAGUGUCUACCUUAACAGGUUAAAACUCCUCCACAACCGGUUGUGGUCACAACAUGGCCACUGGCCAUUCCACCUGAGCCAAAGAGAGCACCCGUGAACCAGAAUGCCUGCAGAAGUCCUGAGAUUCACUCCGACCAGGCCAUCCUGCGUGACGAGGCCACUCCCGAGCCCAUUGUUGUGGCCGAGGGACCACAUGUGCUGAUUAUAGUCAAGCUUAGGUCAUAUUUGCACCCUGGGAGUCGGCUUCCCUUGUACCACAAGGUUCCCCAAAAGGAUGUGGGUAUUACAGGGAAGAGGGAAGGGAGGAUGAAUUUGGGGAAGUAUUGUAUUAUGGAUUUUCCCCAUUCACUCCUCUGAGAGCCUAGAGUUUCUGCCCCAGGAAGAGAGUGGAACUAAAACUAAAAUUCCAGGUGUUUUAUCAUUCCCAGAAUAAGAGCCGGUGGUGAGCUUGAAGACGAGGCCAACAGGGACACAGGAGCAGCUGAGCAGAAUUAACUGUCCCUGCAGGAAGAAAAAGGGAGCACGAGCUCUUAUGCAGGGAGUCCGGGGAACCCCCCCACCCCGCCCCCGGCUGGACAGACGCCACGAGGGACGGGGAGCAGGAGCAGGCUGACGCAGGGGGACAAGUCCUGUCCGAGGGGGAUUUUUCAGGCGUCAAAUUGUGAAAGAGAAAGUGAAAGAAGCCACAAAAAGAUCCCCCUCCUUUGUUGCCCAUAGGACACCAGUUAAAAAGUCCAUUUUCCUGUUACCGACUAGAGCAGGGGAGACAAGGUGACUAAAUGCAAUGGGGGUACCCUGGAUGGGAUUCUGGAACAAAAGAGGACAUUACUGGAAAAACUGGUGAAAUCCAAUGAAAGUCUGCAGUGUAGUUAACAGAAUUUACUGAAGUCAGUUUCUGAGUUGUGUUAAAGUUACCAUAGGAAGGUAAGCUAUGAACAAGGGGCGGGGGGAAGCUGGGGAUGGGGUAUAUGGACCCCUCUGCACUAUCUUUGUGAAUUUUCUAUA